Molecule: long non-coding RNA, 587 nt
Filed under: Lactuca sativa (garden lettuce)
Lineage: Eukaryota; Viridiplantae; Streptophyta; Magnoliopsida; Asterales; Asteraceae
Description: long non-coding RNA (LSAT_LNC004841)
Source: RNAcentral
UCCAAAUGGUCCAAAAGGUUCUCCAAUGGUCCUUUCCCUGUUACAAUUGCUUGAACAAAAAACCCAAACAUUGAAAACAUUGCUAGUCUUCCAUUCUUGAUUUCCUUCACUUUCAACUCGGCAAAGGUAACCGGGUCGUCAGCAAGUCCCAACGGGUCAAAAUACUGACCACCCGGGUACAAGUUGUUACCAUCUCCAACACCAUCGAGCCCGUUGAUACGGAACCCUUCGACUAGGCCCAUUAGGACCACUUGAAAACCGAGUACUGCUAGUAUGCUUUGUGCGUGGACCAGGUUAGGGUUGCCCAAGUAGUCUAGCCCACCUUCUGAGAAGAUUUGGGAUCCGGCUUUGAACCAAACGGGCUCCUUGAAAUCCACUUUGACCCAUUUUGCAAGGACUUCGGGCGUGAUGGAGCCCAGUGCUCCGAGCAUUGCCCAUCGCCCGUGGAUCACCUCAAGAGCCCGGUUUUUAGCGAAUGCCUCGGGAUCAGCAGACAAACCAGCUGUAUCCCAACCAUAGUCGCCUGGGAAUUCACCGGUCAGGUAGGAUGGUGUUUGAGCCGAAAAUGGGCCCAAGUACUUCACACG